CGGCGGACGGGUGAGUAAUGCCUAGGAAUCUGCCUGGUAGUGGGGGACAACGUUUCGAAAGGAACGCUAAUACCGCAUACGUCCUACGGGAGAAAGCAGGGGACCUUCGGGCCUUGCGCUAUCAGAUGAGCCUAGGUCGGAUUAGCUAGUUGGUGAGGUAAUGGCUCACCAAGGCGACGAUCCGUAACUGGUCUGAGAGGAUGAUCAGUCACACUGGAACUGAGACACGGUCCAGACUCCUACGGGAGGCAGCAGA
RNAcentral lists this ribosomal RNA (256 nucleotides) under uncultured Pseudomonas sp. RNAcentral describes it as "partial 16S ribosomal RNA". It matches the Rfam family "Bacterial small subunit ribosomal RNA", at positions 96 to 354 of the family's 1533-position model. Lineage: Bacteria; Pseudomonadati; Pseudomonadota; Gammaproteobacteria; Pseudomonadales; Pseudomonadaceae. The record is from RNAcentral.